RNAcentral lists this ribosomal RNA (497 nucleotides) under uncultured bacterium. Its description in RNAcentral is "partial 16S ribosomal RNA". It matches the Rfam family "Bacterial small subunit ribosomal RNA", at positions 28 to 507 of the family's 1533-position model. The record is from RNAcentral.
GAUGAACGCUGGCGGCGUGCCUAAUACAUGCAAGUCGAGCGAACAGACGAGGAGCUUGCUCCUCUGACGUUAGCGGCGGACGGGUGAGUAACACGUGGAUAACCUACCUAUAAGACUGGGAUAACUUCGGGAAACCGGAGCUAAUACCGGAUAAUAUAUUGAACCGCAUGGUUCAAUAGUGAAAGACGGUUUUGCUGUCACUUAUAGAUGGAUCCGCGCCGCAUUAGCUAGUUGGUAAGGUAACGGCUUACCAAGGCAACGAUGCGUAGCCGACCUGAGAGGGUGAUCGGCCACACUGGAGCUGAGACACGGUCCAGACUCCUACGAGAGGCAGCAGUAGGGAAUCGUCCGCAGUGGGCGAGAGCUUGACGGAGCAGCGCCGCGUGAGUGAUGAAGGUCUUCGGAUCGUAAAGCUCUGUUAUUAGGGAAGAACAAAUGUGUAAGUAACUAUGCACGUCUUGACGGUACCUAAUCAGAAAGCCACGGCUAACUACGUG